This 489-nucleotide ribosomal RNA is filed under the name uncultured bacterium. RNAcentral describes it as "bacterial SSU rRNA". It matches the Rfam family "Bacterial small subunit ribosomal RNA", at positions 28 to 526 of the family's 1533-position model. The record is from RNAcentral.
GACGAACGCUGGCGGCGUGCCUAACACAUGCAAGUCGAACGGACUUUUAAGGGGGCUUGCACCUUUAAAAGUUAGUGGCGGACGGGUGAGUAACGCGUGAGUAACCUGCCUUUUGGAGUGGGACAACAUCUUGAAAAGGAUGCUAAUACCGCAUAACAUUAUUUUAUCGCAUGGCAAGAUAAUCAAAGAUUUAUCGCCAAAAGAUGGACUCGCGUCUGAUUAGUUAGUUGGUGAGGUAACGGCUCACCAAGACCGCGAUCAGUAGCCGAGCUGAGAGGCUCUACGGCCACAUUGGGACUGAGACACGGCCCAGACUCCUACGGGAGGCAGCAGUGGGGAAUAUUGCGCAAUGGGGGAAACCCUGACGCAGCAACGCCGCGUGAAGGAUGAAGGUUUUCGGAUCGUAAACUUCUUUGAGUGGGGAAGAAUUUUUGACGGUACCCACAGAACAAGCCACGGCUAACUACGUGCCAGCCGCCGCAGUAACAC